AAGGGAUUGCCCUAGUAGCGGCGAGCGAAGCGGGAAGAGCUCAAAUUUAUAAUCUGGCACCUUCGGUGUCCGAGUUGUAAUCUCUAGAAAUGUUUUCCGCGUUGGACCGCACACAAGUCUGUUGGAAUACAGCGGCAUAGUGGUGAGACCCCCGUAUAUGGUGCGGACGCCCAGCGCUUUGUGAUACAUUUUCGAAGAGUCGAGUUGUUUGGGAAUGCAGCUCAAAUUGGGUGGUAAAUUCCAUCUAAAGCUAAAUAUUGGCGAGAGACCGAUAGCGAACAAGUACCGUGAGGGAAAGAUGAAAAGCACUUUGGAAAGAGAGUUAACAGUACGUGAAAUUGUUGGAAGGGAAACGCUUGAAGUCAGACUUGCUUGCCGAGCAAUCGGUUUGCAGGCCAGCAUCAGUUUUCCGGGAUGGAUAAUGGUAGAGAGAAGGUAGCAGUUUCGGCUGUGUUAUAGCUCUCUGCUGGAUACAUCUUGGGGGACUGAGGAACGCAGUGUGCCUUUGGCGGGGGUUUCGACCUCUUCACACUUAGGAUGCUGGUGGAAUGGCUUUAAACGACCCGUCUUGAAACCACGGACCA
RNAcentral lists this ribosomal RNA (584 nucleotides) under Rhodotorula sp. RNAcentral describes it as "partial large subunit ribosomal RNA". It matches the Rfam family "Eukaryotic large subunit ribosomal RNA", at positions 69 to 668 of the family's 3401-position model. Lineage: Eukaryota; Fungi; Basidiomycota; Microbotryomycetes; Sporidiobolales; Sporidiobolaceae. The record is from RNAcentral.